RNAcentral lists this ribosomal RNA (390 nucleotides) under uncultured archaeon. RNAcentral's name for it is "bacterial SSU rRNA". It matches the Rfam family "Archaeal small subunit ribosomal RNA", at positions 355 to 747 of the family's 1478-position model. The record is from RNAcentral.
AUAGGCGAAAGCUUGACAGGGUUACUCUGAGUGAUUCCCGCUAAGGGGAUCUUUUGGCACCUCUAAAAAUGAUGCAGAAUAAAAAAUGGGCAAAUCUGGUGUCAGCCGCCACGGUAAUACCAGCACCCCGAAUGGUCGAAACGAUUAUUGGGCCUAAAGCAUCCGUAGCCGGUCCUACAAGUCUUCCGUUAAAUCCACCUGCUUAACAGAUGGGCUGCGGAAGAUACUAUAGGGCUAGGAGGCGGGAGAGGCAAGCGGUACUCAGUGGGUAGGGGUAAAAUCCUCUGAUCCACUGAAGACCACCAGUGGCGAAGGCGGCUUGCCAGAACGCGCUCGACGGUGAGGGAUGAAAGCUGGGGGAGCAAACCGGAUUAGAUACCCCCGUAGUCC